Molecule: long non-coding RNA, 662 nt
Organism: Dromaius novaehollandiae (emu)
Lineage: Eukaryota; Metazoa; Chordata; Aves; Casuariiformes; Dromaiidae
Exons: 6
Source: RefSeq, a predicted model, not a curated record
GCCGCCUGGAGACAAAUGAUAUGGAAAAAGGCCUUUGUGACAUAGGUCCCUGCUGGCACUGUGCUGUACAAGCAGAAGGAUACUUAGACAGAAGGUCCUUCCUGGCAGCACAUCUAUCUGCUGAGGCUCCCAGAUGACCCAGACCAGUGCAUUCUGCGUGCUCCUCUAGUGCUGCCAUCACAGCCAAAGAUUGGGAUAUUGCAAGAUCAAAGUGAUAACCUAAGAGACUCAUGCAGAGACACAGGAGGAAACUGUGCUGCCUCUGAACUGCAAAAUCACUUUCCUCUCCCUUCCUUCCCUUUGCAUCGUUCCUUACUGCCCCAGAUGUGAGCCUUCUCCAGGGGAAGGAUUAAAUAUGAGUUUGAUCCAGAGAAAAGAGACAAAGAAUGGAAAGGAAAAGAGAGAAGAACAGAGAGAGAAGAAAAAAUAACAGAUGCAGAAAAAAGAUACCGUCUUAGAAGCUCAACAGAAAAGAACUGGGAAAAAGGCUUCUCGGGAAGGAAAGUGAGGAAGUACAGAGAAACAUCUCAGCGUUAGCAGAAAGUGAAAGGCGAAUACCAAGCAAGCAGGAGCAGGAAGAGCCCUGGCUGAGCCAACUCAACCAGUUGGAUGCUGUACUGAGAAAUUGGCUUCUUUCCCUACCUUUGCCACAGAGUUUGUCC